GAGACUAUCUCCCAGCAACACCACUCUCUAAACCUCAAACCACGGGUCGUGGGGUGCAGAAGAGAGUGGGGCCAGAGACCCCACUGUGAGGAAAACCCGCAAUUUUCAGGCACUCUCUUCCCCCACCAUCAGAACGGUCUGGUGGAGUCAGCCUGGGUUGUCUCUGGGUCCCCUCUUCCGUCUGUCUCCACGUCAGCCCCUAUUUUGUUUGUUCCUCCUGCCAGUUCCAGUCAGUCCCCAGUCCCCACCCGGCUUCUCCCUGCUUCAAGUGGACUGAAAACGCAGAGAAAAGUCCACCUGGUCUCUGAUAUAGGCGCUGCGGACAAUUUUUUUCUUCUCUCAAGUUCCAGCAGGACGCCACUCUCACCCAGGGCCCUCUCUCUGGGUACUAUCCACUCCCAGGGGUCUUCUUCCCCGGCCCCCUUGGCCAUCCAUGAAGAUAAGAAAAAUUGUGAACCAGAUCAACUGAAAUUGCCCAUUGCAGUGGCACAUGCCUGUAACAGCAGCUACUCUGAAGCCUAAGACUAAUGCCUUCAACUUAAGCUGGAACAAGCAGAGAUGAAAGAAGACAGUUUCAUAACACUAGACCUCACAGAACUACCAAGCUGUGCUUUAAAUGUCUACCAACAGGGAGAAGAUCUGACAUCCUGUUUGACAAAGGAAAUAAGCCUUGGUUCCUCUAAGUAUAUUCUACCCAAAUACACUUAAAUAAUUCUAUAAUUUACUGUUUUUGAACUUCUUGCUCUUCUAGAUCAAUGGAAAGGUACCUUUUAAGCAAGAAGUAAA
Sciurus carolinensis (gray squirrel) is the source of this 786-nucleotide long non-coding RNA. RefSeq lists it as uncharacterized. The transcript is spliced from 3 exons. The record is from RefSeq and is a predicted model, not a curated record. Lineage: Eukaryota; Metazoa; Chordata; Mammalia; Rodentia; Sciuridae.